Molecule: ribosomal RNA, 119 nt
Filed under: Patescibacteria group bacterium
Lineage: Bacteria
Source: RNAcentral
CUCGGUGUUUGGAGCGAUAUGGUCCCACCUCUUCCCAUUUCGAACAGAGUCGUGAAACAUAUCAGCGCCGAUGAUACUUGGACCCAAUCCGGUCCUGGGAAAGUAGGCCAAUGCCGGGA